This 370-nucleotide ribosomal RNA is filed under the name uncultured bacterium. RNAcentral describes it as "bacterial SSU rRNA". It matches the Rfam family "Bacterial small subunit ribosomal RNA", at positions 917 to 1291 of the family's 1533-position model. The record is from RNAcentral.
GGGCCCGCACAAGCGGUGGAGUAUGUGGUUUAAUUCGAUGCAACGCGAAGAACCUUACCAGGGUUUGACAUCCUGCGAAUCUCUUGGAAACAGGAGAGUGCCUUCGGGAACGCAGUGACAGGUGGUGCAUGGCUGUCGUCAGCUCGUGUCGUGAGAUGUUGGGUUAAGUCCCGCAACGAGCGCAACCCACGUCUUUAGUUGCCAGCAUUUAGUUGGGCACUCUAGAGAGACUGCCGGUGAUAAACCGGAGAAGGUGUGGAUGACGUCAAGUCAUCAUGCCCCUUACAUCUGGGCUACACACGUACUACAAUGCUACGGACAAAGGGCAGCAAACUCGCGAGAGCUAGCAAAUCCCAUAAACGUGGCUCAG